UGAGAUUCGACGAGCACAUCAAUUUUAAUUUCAACUUGACGAAAUAUAAGUAAAAAAGGUCCGUAAAUCCGAGUUUACUAAUAAAUCAUAAAAUUUCAUUAGAUGCAUCAACACAUAAUUUAAAGUAGUGGAAAAGUUUACAUGCAACACACAUUUUCUUAAAGACUGUACAUGCAAAACGUGUACUGGAUACCAGAAUGCAAUUCCAUAACCGAGAUAAAUUACAAUAAAAUCACCGUUUCUUUAAAGUUAAUAUUGGUUUCUUGGAAAAUCGAAAACAAAUCGUUGAUUUUUCGAAUUUGAUAUUAUUUUAAAAUAUAAUUAAGAACACGAGCACGUGAAGAUACAUAUCGGCAACGGGAUCAACCAUAGAAGGCGUCCUGCCUUGCAGAGACCAUAGAUUACAGUCACACGAAGGAAUCAGCUAGCUUAUGCAAGACAGGUCACACUUCUAUAACUGAUAACCUGCUCUGAAUUAUACACAGAGAGAGAGAUCGAGAGAGAGAGAGGGAGAGAGAUCGCGAGAGAGAGGGAGAGAGAUCUCGAAUGGAUCUUAUGAUAUAUUUUUAUGAUAUAUUUCAGUAGUACUUAUCUACUAGUGAUGAGAUUUACCGUGAAGUCAUGGUUUACCAGCAUGCCUAUUGCACAAACAACGGUGGCGAAGAAUGACAUAACCACCUGCAUCUCCAUGACCACAGAAUAGUUUAUGGGCUGUUUAGCCUUCUUGCACAUUAACUCAAUCGCUGGUAGUAUAAAUCCAUACAAUGCGGCUGCUCCAAGAGUCAUAAAGAAGCCUAAAAAGUAUUGCUUGUUGGACUCAUCAGCAGGACGAUCAGAGCUAGUAUGAAAUGCAAGAACUACAGCUCCAAUACAUAACAAAAAGACAGCAUUGAUGGUGAAGCUGGUAAACUUUUGCCUAACCAGAAGAAACGCAAAUCCAGCCGUAAAAGCCAACUGAGUAGCAAUAAUUAGCUACUCAGUUUAUGCUCUCGAAUUCAUGAACCAUAAUUUCAAUAGAUUCCAGAAAUUUUCAUAACUCAUAAUUAGCUACAGCUACUAGAAAAAUAAAAAACUAACAAGACUACAUUGUUUUCGCUAGUUUUACUUCUGCAAUACUAUCUGAGUAAUAUCCGUAAACUGAUAUUCAUCUUGUGCAAUACGCUCCAGUUCCUUUUCUUCGUGUUCUGCAAUGCGUUUCUUUUCCUUGUCUUGUUUAGCCUCUUCAUAGAAGUAGGAUACAGAGCCCCAAAGAGCAAGAAAAAGAGAUAUUCCCUUUUCAGGUGUAAAUUUCUCACCGAACAUAAAUACAGCCAGGAUCUCCGAAACAGGUAGCAGAGCCGAAAUUAGUAUACCAGAGAGUAUUGAGUUGUUGCAGAAAAUCACUCCAAUGGCUCCCAAGAAAAACAGCUGCCAAAGAAAUGCAUCUGCUGCUAGUACUAAAUAAUACAUCGUUUGUCCAAGCUCAAAACUCGCAGCUUCUCUAGGGAUCGCCUGCAAGAAUAAGUCAAUGCAAUUAGUAACAAGUAGCUCUCCAAUUCUUGAUUUACAUCUGAUUUAAAUAGCCUAUAACAGUGAAUUUAGAAAAUCUGAACCUUUAGAAAAAUACUUCACAAACUUUUUCAAGUCCAUAAUCUACUAAAUACGUGCAAGUGAAGGAAAUAUUUUAGUCGUGCUAGAUACGGACCUGGAAAUCAUUAUUGAUUACCAUCCCAACGACGCAGAGGAUUGUAGCAGAAAGAGAUAUGAUGAUCUGCAUCUCGAUGACUAAAGAAUAAGUGACGGUCUGUUUCGCUUUCUUGUAUAUGAGCUCAACAGAUGGCAAGACAAAUCCAUACAAAACUGCAACUCCCAGGGUCAUCAGGAAUCCAAUCAAGAGCACGUGAAGAUACAUAUCGGCAAUAGAGAGCGGGAUCAACCAUAGAAGGCGUCCUGCCUUGCAGAGACCAUAAAUUACAGUCACACGAAGGA
RNAcentral lists this long non-coding RNA (1968 nucleotides) under Daucus carota (carrot). Its description in RNAcentral is "long non-coding RNA (DCAR_LNC000346)". Lineage: Eukaryota; Viridiplantae; Streptophyta; Magnoliopsida; Apiales; Apiaceae. The record is from RNAcentral.